RNAcentral lists this ribosomal RNA (380 nucleotides) under uncultured archaeon. RNAcentral describes it as "bacterial SSU rRNA". It matches the Rfam family "Archaeal small subunit ribosomal RNA", at positions 471 to 851 of the family's 1478-position model. The record is from RNAcentral.
UAAUACCCGGGGACCGAGUGAUGGCCAGUAUUAUUUGGUCUAAAGCGUCCGUAGCCGGUUCAACAAGUCCCUAGUGAAAUCUUUCAGCAAACUGAAAGGCGUGCUUGGGAUACUUUUGAACUUGAGACUGAGAGGGGAUAGGGAUACUCUUAGGGUAGGGGCAAAAUCCUGUAAUCCUAAGAGGAUCACCAGUGGCGAAGGCGCCUAUCUGGAACAGGUCUGACGGUGAGGGGCGAAGGCUAGGGGAGCGAUUGGGAUUAGAUACCCCAGUAGUCCUAGCAGUAAACGAUGCCCGCUUGGUGUUGCAGGCUUCUCGGGAGCUUGCAGUGCCGGAGCGUAGGUGUUAAGCGGGCCACCUGGGAAGUACGGUCGCAAGGCUG